RNAcentral lists this ribosomal RNA (460 nucleotides) under uncultured bacterium. RNAcentral's name for it is "partial 16S ribosomal RNA". It matches the Rfam family "Bacterial small subunit ribosomal RNA", at positions 338 to 795 of the family's 1533-position model. The record is from RNAcentral.
CCUACGGGAGGCUGCAGUGAGGAAUAUUGGUCAAUGGCCGUAAGGCUGAACCAGCCAAGUCGCGUGAAGGAAGAAGGACCUAUGGUUUGUAAACUUCUUUUAUAGGGGAAUAAAGGUAUCCACGUGUGGAUAUUUGCAUGUACCCUAUGAAUAAGCAUCGGCUAACUCCGUGCCAGCAGCCGCGGUAAUACGGAGGAUGCGAGCGUUAUCCGGAUUUAUUGGGUUUAAAGGGUGCGUAGGUUGUUUUUUAAGUCAGCGGUGAAAGUUUGUGGCUCAACCAUAAAAUUGCCGUUGAAACUGGAAGACGUGAGUGUGUUUGAGGUAGGCGGAAUGCGUGGUGUAGCGGUGAAAUGCAUAGAUAUCACGCAGAACUCCGAUUGCGAAGGCAGCUUACUAAGCCAUAACUGACACUGAAGCACGAAAGCGUGGGGAUCAAACAGGAUUAGAUACCCUAGUAGUC